GGGCCCCUCCCUAGGCGCAAGGUGCUCAUGGUUGCCGUUCCCUUUUCCCAAAGUGUCAUCCUCUUUGGGAGGCUUAUAAAGCAGUCUCUGGCCCAGGGAGAGGGAAGACCCAAGGCCUAACCACUUAUGAUCCAUCUUCUACAGGUAACAGAUUGAGGUUCCUCAAUCCUCAACUCAUUGCCAGGAUCAGCCAUGUUUCUAGUCUGUACCUUGGGAUUCCUCCUUGGGAUGUUGGUCCCAUUCUGUGAAGCCUACUCAGCAAGGAUUGUGGUCAGGAUUAACCAGGCAGCCCUGGACUAUGUGGCACAGAUAGGGCGCACGGCUUUCCAGAACGCCCUGAAGAUCCAACUCCCUGAUCUCCUUGACCCAAAAGAAGGCUACUUCCAACGAACCUCGUAAGUUCCC
Molecule: long non-coding RNA, 405 nt
Filed under: Vombatus ursinus (common wombat)
Lineage: Eukaryota; Metazoa; Chordata; Mammalia; Diprotodontia; Vombatidae
Description: lncRNA (ENSVURG00010013811.1)
Source: RNAcentral